UCCAGGACCUGACCAGAGUUAUUUUAGGAUAAAGGUACUUUGUGGUAAUACCUAUUAUCUUGAAGAUGAGAAGAUUGCAUCGGACGGCAGCUGUGAGAAUGUGCAAACAGACAAAGCAGACCCUUCGAUCGACUGCCCUAAGGCAAAGGAAAGAUGUGGUGUCCUGAGAGAAGACCCUUUCACCAGCUGUCACGCGAUCAUAGCGCUGGAUAAUUACAUAAAAGUCUGUGAAGAAACUUUGUAUUCAUAUCCUUCGGUUGACAAUCUGCCUUGUCAUUACCUGGAGGCCUAUGCCAGAGCUUGCAGCCUGAUGGGCGUCCCUGAACUGAGUGGCUGGAGACAAAAGUCCAACUGCCCCACCACCCAUGAGAUCUUCUGUCCGGACAAGGUCUGUGCUUCUCACGAGUUCUGUGGUGAGACGGAGGCUAAUGGCUUGGGUUGCUUAUGUCACUCUGGUUUCGCAGCCCCAUACAGACAAAAUAAAACUUUCAGGGAUGCCACCACCUGCUAUAGGAACUCUGCUUCAGUUUCUUUAAUAAACUGUCUCCUGAUGGAAAGAGGCUUCGACUACACAACCUUACACCUCAGACCCAAAAUGCAAGGGUGAAUUGCAAGACGGCAUGGUGACCUUCAGUUUCAACAACACUGAAAUGUGCAAGGCAGAGGUCAUUGUGGGUUCACUUCAGCAGAGGUUCUCUCUCUAGUUUGGGGUCUUUCUGUGGGCUUGGCUUUAGUGUUGACCUUUUGCUUCUUAGUUUGGUUAAGUGAUCUUUUGAGCUUUUUCUAGUCAGCCACUAUCAACCUAACAUCUAAUUCCCUGUGACCCUGCAGGAUAGCGAUGCACAGGUUAUCUAGACGAACACCAUUAGUACGUCAGAAAGCAAUGACUCGAUUAUCCGUCAGGACGAAGUGGCACUUAACUUUCCUUGCAGCUAUGCUCAGCCACCAAUCAAGACUAUGUCUUUCAAGAUCCAGAGCAGCUCUGUGGUAUCAGAGAUUAAAUCUGGAAUUUGGCAAUACAAUCUGACCAUGAAGGCCUACAGCGAUGCUGGCCUCCAACAAACUGCAACAUUGGUUACUUUGAACCAGAAGAUUUGGGUGGAGCUGAAGACUACAGGACUGGGUAGUAAUUUGGUUGCCGUGGUGAUUGACUCCUGCUGGGCAAACAAAAACAAAGAAUCUGAUAAGUUACCGAAAUACGACCUGAUCAAAACAGGCUGUGCAAACCCCAAAGACAAGUCAGUGAAAGUAAAGGGAACUGGUGAAGGAACGUCCAGCGUCUUGUCCUUCAACAUGUUCCAGUUCUCCAAGAGCAAUGGUUACGUCUUCCUGCAUUGCAAAGUCAACCUGUGUGGCAAAAAGGACAAGAGCUGUGCCCCGGUAUGUACGUCAAAACAUCGCAGAUCUGCCAGGAAUAUGUACCUAGAGGGAGCCCCAGCCUUGAUCACCAUGGCGUGGACCAGUUAGGUUGUUAUCACUGCGACUUGGACAGGCUGACGGCUUUCGCACUGAGUCCUGACUGUGAUUCGUCUCCAUCCAGAGUGUGGGUCAAAAUCCUAUGCUGGGGAUCAAUGAGCUCAGUUCUCACAAGAAUCUUUCUUUUGACUGUAUACUGAAUUUAUCACUGAAAGACUGUGCAACAUUUUACUCAUAAAUACAGCAGAACUCAAGUCUCCCCUGGUUAAAUGUUUCUUUGAGUCAUGACUGUCUACAAUGAGUGAGACGCUCGAGUCCCGCUGGCUGUGUUGUUGUCAGAGCCGGGUUUACAUGGACGGGACAGCCGGCUCCUCCCCUUGUGUAUAAAAACUGUUUUAGUCAAGGACUAGAGUCAUUCUGUGUCAAUUUACAUGUGAAGGUAAGAGCUAACAAAAGAGUGCUAACAUUAGCAUGCUAACACAACAAUGCAGCUUGAGACAAGGACAAUUUUGUCUGCUGCUUGCGCUUAGUGCUUCAUUAUGGUGCGUUCCUAUUUGAUAACUCCUCCGUGUUUACCAGAAUGGAGGGGUGUUUGAGGUGUGUCUCUGUAGGAGAGCGGAGGCUUCAGUGUGGAGAAGGUGUGGCCAAACAGCAGUUUGUUUUGGUUUCAUGCUGGUGCUCAAGGACGACAUCUACUGGAUCAAAAAGUCACACAUUCUUUCUUUAACAUGAUGUCUGUUCAGAGGAACAUUGUUAAUGCAGAGCAAAACCAUCUAAAAUGGGAAAUAA
Labrus mixtus (cuckoo wrasse) is the source of this 2205-nucleotide RNA transcript. It is a transcript of the gene named pancreatic secretory granule membrane major glycoprotein GP2-like, with no coding region annotated. The record is from RefSeq and is a predicted model, not a curated record. Lineage: Eukaryota; Metazoa; Chordata; Actinopteri; Labriformes; Labridae. The transcript is spliced from 9 exons.